AUCACUUCACAAUUCAGAAUGGGUGACAGUUAUGUUUCAUGAGUCUCGACUUUCGAUCAAGAGAUUCUUUUCUGAACCUCAACUUUUGUUAAAAGAUAACUUGUAUCCCAGUACAGCAGUAAAAGGAAGACGUGUAAGUAGAUUGACUUAUAAGUUGCCAUCAAUACAUAACAGAAAAAGCACUUUUCAUUCUAUAACAAACAGAAAUAUAAACAUGCUGCAUAAUUUCAUAUUUCUGUACCAAUGUAAGCUCAAAUAAAUGGGGAAAAUAUUUCUAAAACUAGAAUUGCUUCAAAUCAAAACAUUUUCUCACAGAUUAAGAGCGACUCGAUCAUGCUACAAACCCAAGCUUAUUGCUCCAUAGUUGAAAGAAAGUAAUUGAAGAAAUGUGAUGUGAUCCGAGAUAGGCCACAAAUUACCAAGGAUUUGAUGAUUGUUGGGCAGAGUCCUAAGCCACAUUCGAGACCUCUGGAAGCUAAUAAAACCAUGCAGAAUACAUGUUCAAGUUAUGGAGUUCAAAUUGAAAAGGUAAACAAGCCAAAUUCCAAGUGCAAUGUGGGGAUGUCGAAGGCUGAAACAACUUGGAGGCAAUGCAAUUCAAGAAGUUGGAAAGGGGCCUGCUGUAAAGUCAUGCGACCGCAAGGCUUUAAAGCCUCAUGCAGUCACAUAAGAGGAAGCAGAAAAAAUGUUCGGCAACAAGAGUUGAUCCAUGCGAC
RNAcentral lists this long non-coding RNA (716 nucleotides) under Olea europaea (common olive). Its description in RNAcentral is "long non-coding RNA (OEUR_LNC010148)". Lineage: Eukaryota; Viridiplantae; Streptophyta; Magnoliopsida; Lamiales; Oleaceae. The record is from RNAcentral.